This 484-nucleotide ribosomal RNA is filed under the name uncultured bacterium. RNAcentral describes it as "partial 16S ribosomal RNA". It matches the Rfam family "Bacterial small subunit ribosomal RNA", at positions 30 to 507 of the family's 1533-position model. The record is from RNAcentral.
AUUGAACGCUGGCGGCAGGCCUAACACAUGCAAGUCGAGCGGAUGAAGGGAGCUUGCUCCUGGAUUCAGCGGCGGACGGGUGAGUAAUGCCUAGGAAUCUGCCGGGUAGUGGGGGAUAACGUCCGGAAACGGGCGCUAAUACCGCAUACGUCCUGAGGGAGAAGGUGGGGGAUCUUCGGACCUCACGCUAUCAGAUGAGCCUAGGUCGGAUUAGCUAGUUGGUGGGGUAAAGGCCUACCAAGGCGACGAUCCGUAACUGGUCUGAGAGGAUGAUCAGUCACACUGGAACUGAGACACGGUCCAGACUCCUACGGGAGGCAGCAGUGGGGAAUAUUGGACAAUGGGCGAAAGCCUGAUCCAGCCAUGCCGCGUGUGUGAAGAAGGUCUUCGGAUUGUAAAGCACUUUAAGUUGGGAGGAAGGGCAGUAAGUUAAUACCUUGCUGUUUUGACGUUAUCAACAGAAUAAGCACCGGCUAACUUCGUG